GUGACUGCGUACCUUUUGUAUAAUGGGUCAGCGACUUAUAUUCUGUAGCAAGGUUAACCGUAUAGGGGAGCCGGAGGGAAACCGAGUCUUAAUUGGGCGUUAAGUUGCAGGGUAUAGACCCGAAACCCGGUGAUCUAGCCAUGGGCAGGUUGAAGGUUGGGUAACACUAACUGGAGGACCGAACCGACUAAUGUUGAAAAAUUAGCGGAUGACCUGUGGCUGGGGGUGAAAGGCCAAUCAAACCGGGAGAUAGCUGGUUCUCCCCGAAAGCUAUUUAGGUAGCGCCUCGUGAAUUCAUCUCCGGGGGUAGAGCACUGUUUCGGCCAGGGGGCCAUCCCGGCUUACCAACCCGAUGCAAACUGCGAAUACCGGAGAAUGUUAUCACGGGAGACACACGGCGGGUGCUAACGUCCGUCGUGAAGAGGGAAACAACCCAGACCGCCAGCUAAGGUCCCAAAGUCAUGGUUAAGUGGGAAACGAUGUGGGAAGGCCCAGACAGCCAGGAUGUUGGCUUAGAAGCAGCCAUCAUUUAAAGAAAGCGUAAUAGCUCACUGGUCGAGUCGGCCUGCGCGGAAGAUGUAACGGGGCUAAACCAUGCACCGAAGCUGCGGCAG
Molecule: ribosomal RNA, 614 nt
Filed under: Salmonella enterica subsp. arizonae serovar 18:z4,z23:- str. CVM N26928
Lineage: Bacteria; Pseudomonadati; Pseudomonadota; Gammaproteobacteria; Enterobacterales; Enterobacteriaceae
Description: bacterial LSU rRNA
Rfam family: Bacterial large subunit ribosomal RNA
Source: RNAcentral